GUAUUUAAACACUUAACCAGUUAACCCAAUUACCCAACUACCUAAGAACAAACCCAAAACAAAGUUGAAGUUAUUAAAAUAACCCAACCCAACCGCCAUUUACAAUUCCAGUCGAUACUCCCAUCCCAGCGAUGCAACUGAGCAGUCCACGACCGGGCAAUUUUUCUGCCUGAAAACCUAAAUUCCGGCCACAAAAGGACCGCCACAUCGCCGGAAUCCCUUAUAAGAUCGGAACAAUGAGUAAGGUUGUUAUGGAGUGAUUUCUCAAGAGGAAAGGGGUUGUAUCAUCUUCCAAAACUCCUGAAUACAUUGAUGUGGAUACUCUUCCUUUGGAUCCUCAUGAUCGCAAGCCGAUUGUGUCAUAUAACGUGAGUCAACGAGAUGAGAUUAGAAGGGCAUACCUACUAAGAGGACCAUGUCAACCAAGAGGUAUUGAAUUCCCACAACCAAUGUUUCAAUGUGAUGAGUUAAGAAAAUUUAAGGAAGAAUGGUAUGAUAAAAAUGAGUAUAAAGGAUGGUUAGAGUACAGUUAAAAAUUG
Long non-coding RNA from Helianthus annuus (common sunflower), 539 nucleotides. RefSeq lists it as uncharacterized. The record is from RefSeq and is a predicted model, not a curated record. The transcript is spliced from 2 exons. Lineage: Eukaryota; Viridiplantae; Streptophyta; Magnoliopsida; Asterales; Asteraceae.